GCGGCUGUAGCUCAGUGGAUAGAGUAUUGGCCUCCGAAGCCAAGGGCGUUGCUCCCCGUAAAUAAUUUUCUGCU
Molecule: transfer RNA, 74 nt
Filed under: Janthinobacterium sp. CG_23.4
Lineage: Bacteria; Pseudomonadati; Pseudomonadota; Betaproteobacteria; Burkholderiales; Oxalobacteraceae
Also listed under: 2 other names
Description: tRNA-Arg
Source: RNAcentral